UACGUAGGGUCCGAGCGUUGUCCGGAAUUACUGGGCGUAAAGAGCUCGUAGGUGGUUUGUCACGUUGUUCGUGAAAACCCACAGCUUAACUGUGGGCGUGCGGGCGAUACGGGCAGACUAGAGUACUGCAGGGGAGACUGGAAUUCCUGGUGUAGCGGUGGAAUGCGCAGAUAUCAGGAGGAACACCGGUGGCGAAGGCGGGUCUCUGGGCAGUAACUGACGCUGAGGAGCGAAAGCGUGGGUAGCGAACAGG
RNAcentral lists this ribosomal RNA (253 nucleotides) under uncultured bacterium. Its description in RNAcentral is "partial 16S ribosomal RNA". It matches the Rfam family "Bacterial small subunit ribosomal RNA", at positions 524 to 776 of the family's 1533-position model. The record is from RNAcentral.